This is a long non-coding RNA of Danio aesculapii, 843 nucleotides long. RefSeq lists it as uncharacterized. NCBI's taxonomy places the organism in Eukaryota, Metazoa, Chordata, Actinopteri, Cypriniformes, Danionidae. The transcript has 6 exons. The record is from RefSeq and is a predicted model, not a curated record.
CAUCAUAGUUCCACCACUCUAUAGGGGUUGGUUUGGUUAUGUAUUGGCUUUGUAGGCUCAUUUUAUAUCUGCAUUCACUGCCUUUCCGACCCAAUCUUGUGCCUUUCCUUUUUAUGUUUACAGGAAUUAUGUGAAGAGUCAUCAAUGGCAAUGAUCGAAUGUGGUUCUUAACACUUUCACAUCAGGUAAGGAGAAAGAAUUGCAUGAAUAGUCAUUGGUGACUGAGAUCGAAUGCAGUGCGAAACCUUAUCAGGGAAAGGGACAGAAUUGCAUGAAGAAUCAUUGGUGACUGAGAUUGAAUGCAGUGCGAAAACGUCCAUGUCAGGGAAAGAGACAGAAUUAUGUGAAGAGUCAUCAAUGGCAAUGAUUGAAUGUGGUUCGAAACACUUCCACAUCAGAUAAGGAGAAAUGUCAGCAUGAAGUACACAGUGCUGUUUUUUCCAGUUUGGAUUUGUGCGAUGAUUGAUUGUAGCGGUUCCAUGUCAAGUAGAAAGUGGCCGACUUCAACUUGCAAAUACACCAACUCAAGGACAGUUAUUAUAAAAACAUGGAGCAGACUGAAGUGAAUGCAGUCAUAAAACAUUUUAAAGGGACACCUCACCACAAAAGCACAGUGUGAUCAAUGCAAGAAAGCAGAAGACCAUGUUCUUAAAGAAAGAAGAAAAAUUAAGUGACUUUGUGAGGAACAGAGGUUUGCAGAUAAAUAAAAGAAAUGUUGGAGUGCAUUUCAACAAAGAAAAGCAAAAACUGCUUUUAAACGGUUAGUUCAUCCAAAAAAUUAAAUUAGCCCAUGGUUUAUUCACCCUUAUGCAAUCCUAGCUGUAUAUGACAUUCUUCGUUCAG